AUUGAACGCUGGCGGCAUGCCUUACACAUGCAAGUCGAACGGUAACAGGUUUUCGGAUGCUGACGAGUGGCGCACGGGUGAGUAAUACAUCGGAACGUGCCUAGUAGUGGGGGAUAACUACUCUAAAGCGUGGCUAAUACCGCAUUAGAUCUCCGGAAGACAGCAGGGGAUCGCAAGACCUUGUGCUACUAGAGCGGCCGAUGGCAGAUUAGGUCGUGGUUGGGAUAAAAGCUUAACAAGCCGACGGUCUGUAGCUGGUCUGAGAGGACGAUCAGCCACACUGGGACUGAGACACGGCCCAGACUCCUACGGGAGGCAGCAGUGGGGAAUUUUGAACAAUGGGCGAAAGCCUGAUCCAGCAAUGCCGCGUGCAUGAUGAAGGCCUUCGGGUUGUAAACUGCUUUUGUACGGAACGAAAAGCCCUGGGUUAAUACCCUGGGGUCAUGACGUUACCGUAAGAAUAAGCACCGACUAACUACGUGCCAGCAGCCGCCGUAA
This 498-nucleotide ribosomal RNA is filed under the name uncultured bacterium. RNAcentral describes it as "partial 16S ribosomal RNA". It matches the Rfam family "Bacterial small subunit ribosomal RNA", at positions 30 to 523 of the family's 1533-position model. The record is from RNAcentral.